This 580-nucleotide ribosomal RNA is filed under the name uncultured bacterium. RNAcentral's name for it is "bacterial SSU rRNA". It matches the Rfam family "Bacterial small subunit ribosomal RNA", at positions 337 to 911 of the family's 1533-position model. The record is from RNAcentral.
UCCUACGGGAGGCAGCAGUAGGGAAUAUUGCGCAAUGGGCGAAAGCCUGACGCAGCGACGCCGCGUGAGUGAAGAAGGUUCUAUGGAUCGUAAAGCUCUGUAAGGAGGGAAGAACCAGUUGGUGUAACGGCCAACUCUGACGGUACCUCCAAAGUAAGGACCGGCUAAAUAAGUGCCAGCAGCCGCGGUAAUACUUAUGGUCCGAGCGUUGUCCGGAAUGACUGGGCGUAAAGGGUGCGUAGGCGGCUACAUAUGUCAGGUGUGAAAUCCCCGGGCUUAACCUGGGAACUGCGCUUGAAACUGUGUAGCUUGAGUCCGUGAGAGGUUAGCGGAAUUCCCGGAGUAGCGGUGAAAUGCGUAGAGAUCGGGAAGAACACCAGUGGCGAAGGCGGCUAACUGGCACGGUACUGACGCUGAGGCACGAAAGCGUGGGGAGCGAACGGGAUUAGAUACCCCGGUAGUCCACGCCGUAAACGAUGUAUACUAGAUGCUGGGUCACUUAAUAGACUCGGUGUCGGAGCUAACGCAUUAAGUAUACCGCCUGGGGAGUACGGUCGCAAGAUUAAAACUCAAAGGAAUU